Molecule: ribosomal RNA, 492 nt
Filed under: uncultured bacterium
Lineage: Bacteria
Description: partial 16S ribosomal RNA
Rfam family: Bacterial small subunit ribosomal RNA
Source: RNAcentral
AGUGAACGCUGGCGGUAGGCCUAACACAUGCAAGUCGAACGGCAGCACAGUAAGAGCUUGCUCUUACGGGUGGCGAGUGGCGGACGGGUGAGGAAUACAUCGGAAUCUACUUUUUCGUGGGGGAUAACGUAGGGAAACUUACGCUAAUACCGCAUACGAUCUACGGGUGAAAGCAGGGGAUCUUCGGACCUUGCGCGAUUGAAUGAGCCGAUGUCGGAUUAGCUAGUUGGCGGGGUAAAGGCCCACCAAGGCGACGAUGCGUAGCUGGUCUGAGAGGAUGAUCAGCCACACUGGAACUGAGACACGGUCCAGACUACUACGGGAGGCAGCAGUGGGGAAUAUUGGACAAUGGGCGCAAGCCUGAUCCAGCCAUACCGCGUGGGUGAAGAAGGCCUUCGGGUUGUAAAGCCCUUUUGUUGGGAAAGAAAAGCAGCAGGUUAAUACCCCGCUGUUCUGACGGUACCCAAAGAAUAAGCACCGGCUAACUUCGUG